AGUGAACGCUGGCGGUAGGCCUAACACAUGCAGGUCGAACGGCAGCACAGUAAGAGCUUGCUCUUACGGGUGGCGAGUGGCGGACGGGUGAGGAAUACAUCGGAAUCUACUUUUUCGUGGGGGAUAACGUAGGGAAACUUACGCUAAUACCGCAUACGACCUACGGGUGAAAGCAGGGGAUCUUCGGACCUUGCGCGAUUGAAUGAGCCGAUGUCGGAUUAGCUAGUUGGCGGGGUAAAGGCCCACCAAGGCGACGAUCCGUAGCUGGUCUGAGAGGAUGAUCAGCCACACUGGAACUGAGACACGGUCCAGACUCCUACGGGAGGCAGCAGUGGGGAAUAUUGGACAAAGGGCGCAAGCCUGAUCCAGCCAUACCGCGUGGGUGAAGAAGGCCUUCGGGUUGUAAAGCCCUUUUGUUGGGAAAGAAAAGCAGCAGGUUAAUACCCCGCUGUUCUGACGGUACCCAAAGAAUAAGCACCGGCUAACUUCGUG
RNAcentral lists this ribosomal RNA (492 nucleotides) under uncultured bacterium. RNAcentral describes it as "partial 16S ribosomal RNA". It matches the Rfam family "Bacterial small subunit ribosomal RNA", at positions 29 to 507 of the family's 1533-position model. The record is from RNAcentral.